GCGGAGUAGGGGCUGGGCAUAAUACAUGCAGUCGAACGCUUCUUUCCUCCCGAGUGCUUGCACUCAAUUGGAAAGAGGAGUGGCGGACGGGUGAGUAACACGUGGGUAACCUACCCAUCAGAGGGGGAUAACACUUGGAAACAGGUGCUAAUACCGCAUAACAGUUUAUGCCGCAUGGAUAAGAGUGAAAGGCGCUUUCGGGUGUCGCUGAUGGAUGGACCCGCGGUGCAUUAGCUAGUUGGUGAGGUAACGGCUCACCAAGGCCACGAUGCAUAGCCGACCUGAGAGGGUGAUCGGCCAUACUGGGACUGAGACACGGCCCAGACUCCUACGGGAGGCAGCAGUAGGGAAUCUUCGGCAAUGGACGAAAGUCUGACCGAGCAACGCCGCGUGAGUGAAGAAGGUUUUCGGAUCGUAAAACUCUGUUGUUAGAGAAGAACAAGGACGUUAGUAACUGAACGUCCCCUGACGGUAUCUAACCAGAAAGCCACGGCUAACUACGUGCCAGCAGCCGCGGUAAUACGUAGGUGGCAAGCGUUGUCCGGAUUUAUUGGGCGUAAAGCGAGCGCAGGCGGUUUCUUAAGUCUGAUGUGAAAGCCCCCGGCUCAACCGGGGAGGGUCAUUGGAAACUGGGAGACUUGAGUGCAGAAGAGGAGAGUGGAAUUCCAUGUGUAGCGGUGAAAUGCGUAGAUAUAUGGAGGAACACCAGUGGCGAAGGCGGCUCUCUGGUCUGUAACUGACGCUGAGGCUCGAAAGCGUGGGGAGCAAACAGGAUUAGAUACCCUGGUAGUCCACGCCGUACACGAUGAGUGCUAAUGUGUUGGAGGGUUUCCGCCCUUUCAGUGCUGCAGCAAACGCAUUAAGCACUCCGCCUUGGGGAGUACGACCGCAAGUUGAAACUCAAAGGAAUUGACGGGGCUCCGCACAAGCGUUGAGCAUUGUGGUUUAUUUCGAGCACGCAGAGACCUUACGAGUCUUGACAUCUUUGACUACUUCUAGAGAUAGAGCUUUCCUUCGGGACAGUCUUCGGGGACAAAGUGACAGGUGGUGCAUGGUUGUCGUCAGCUCGUGUCGUGAGAUGUUGGGUUAAGUCCCGCAACGAGCGCAACCCUUAUUGUUAGUUGCCAUCAUUUAGUUGGGCACUCUAGCGAGACUGCCGGUGACAAACCGGAGGAAGGUGGGGAUGACGUCAAAUCAUCAUGCCCCUUAUGACCUGGGCUACACACGUGCUACAAUGGGAAGUACAACGAGUCGCUAGACCGCGAGGUCAUGCAAAUCUCUUAAAGCUUCUCUCAGUUCGGAUUGCAGGCUGCAACUCGCCUGCAUGAAGCCGGAAUCGCUAGUAAUCGCGGAUCAGCACGCCGCGGUGAAUACGUUCCCGGGCCUUGUACACACCGCCCGUCACACCACGAGAGUUUGUAACACCCGAAGUCGGUGAGGUAACCUUUUUGGAGCCAGCCG
Molecule: ribosomal RNA, 1461 nt
Filed under: Enterococcus sp.
Lineage: Bacteria; Bacillati; Bacillota; Bacilli; Lactobacillales; Enterococcaceae
Description: bacterial SSU rRNA
Rfam family: Bacterial small subunit ribosomal RNA
Source: RNAcentral